CUUGAAUAUAGUUGAAGUGAACGGAAUGUAACAUGUAGCGGUGAAAUGCAUAGAGAUGUUACAGAACACCAAUUGCGAAGGCAGUUCACUAAGCUAUUAUUGACGCUAAGGGACGAAAGCGUGGGUAGCGAACAGGAUUAGAUACCCUGGUAGUCCACGCCGUAAACUAUGAUUACUCGAUGUCGGCGAUAUAUUGUCGGUGUCCAAGCGAAAGUGAUAAGUAAUCCACCUGGGGAGUACGAUCGCAAGGUUGAAACUCAAAGGAAUUGACGGGGGCCCGCACAAGCGGUGGAGCAUGUGGUUUAAUUCGAUGAUACGCGAGGAACCUUACCUGGGCUUAAAUGCAACAUGACCGUUCUGGAAACAGGACUUUCUUCGGACAGGUUGCAAGGUGCUGCAUGGUUGUCGUCAGCUCGUGCUGUGAGGUGUCGGGUUAAGUCCCAUAACGAGCGCAACCCCUAUUCUUAGUUGCCAGCGGGUAAUGCCGGGGACUCUAAGAAAACUGCCCGUGCAAACGGAGAGGAAGGUGGGGAUGACGUCAAAUCAUCACGGCCCUUCCGUCCAGGGCUACACACGUGCUACAAUGGUCAGUACAAAGGGCAGCUACCAGGUGACUGGAUGCUAAUCUCUAAAGCUGAUCUCAGUUCGGAUCGAAGUCUGCAGCUCGACUUCGUGAAGUUGGAAUCGCUAGUAAUCGCGCAUCAGCCAUGCGCGGUG
Molecule: ribosomal RNA, 717 nt
Filed under: uncultured bacterium
Lineage: Bacteria
Description: bacterial SSU rRNA
Rfam family: Bacterial small subunit ribosomal RNA
Source: RNAcentral